CACGCCGUAAACGAUGAGUGCUAGUUGUCGGCAUGCAUGCAUGUCGGUGACGCAGCUAACGCAUUAAGCACUCCGCCUGGGGAGUACGGUCGCAAGAUUAAAACUCAAAGGAAUUGACGGGGGCCCGCACAAGCGGUGGAGCAUGUGGUUUAAUUCGAAGCGACGCGCAGAACCUUACCACCUUUUGACAUGCCUGGACCACUCCAGAGAUGGAGCUUUCCCUUCGGGGACUGGGACACAGGUGC
Molecule: ribosomal RNA, 245 nt
Filed under: uncultured Caulobacteraceae bacterium
Lineage: Bacteria; Pseudomonadati; Pseudomonadota; Alphaproteobacteria; Caulobacterales; Caulobacteraceae
Description: partial 16S ribosomal RNA
Rfam family: Bacterial small subunit ribosomal RNA
Source: RNAcentral